GCCAUGUUACAAAAAAAAGGCAAAAAAAAAAUACAAUCGUUCAGUGGAGAAUAAAUACUUCCAGACCUGGUGCUGAACCACGGCAGUAUCAACAGAUAUAUUUUCUUUCUUUCAUUUAGAAAUUGUAAGCCAUAGAGUUUACUAUUUACACCUACUUCAGACAUUUAUUUGCUUACAUCAUCACAGGCAUGGAAUGGAUUCUAUCUGAUAGUGCUAAUUCAUAAAGAUGCGGGACAAAGGAGGAAAAUACUUAGUGUUAAAAAAUAUGGAUCAUAGAAAAGAAACCCACUCUAUGAGUGUGGCCUUUGUUGAGUAUCAUUGGACAUGCGCUCUUCAAAAUUCUUCUGGAAAAGCUUCUAAAAUUGGUUAGUAGGAAAGGACAAAUGAAUAGGUGCAAAUUCUUGUCUGUGCAACAAUAGUUAUUUAAUUUACCCCAUGACUGACCGGCUACAUAAAACCCAGAGAGUCUUGUUAAAGUGCCAUGGGCUGACAGAAUAACAAAAUAUAAGGUGUAAAUAGAAAAUUUCCUUUUUUUUUUUUUAAACAAGAGUUCACUGAGAAUCAGCAAUAAUAGAAUACGCUGUAUAAACUAUUUUCUACAAAGGUUAUCAGCGUUAUUUACAGUUGGUACAUGGAUACAAAAGAAGGCAUACAAGUUAUCCAACUCGAGUUCGUGAUUUUUAAAUUUUAUAUGGCUGACAGGUCUAUGCAUUGCGUUAUGCCUAACAUCCAGCGCUGCUGAGGCUGAGACGAGUCAGGAGCUCCUCAGGCAGACAGGGUGUGAGCAGCCAAGGGUCCGAGACAAAAGGCUGAGUGGGGUGUGGGGAACAGAAAGACCAGAGAUGCUACUCUCCUGAUGCUUUAGGGGUUGAAUUCCAUGAGAACAAACACAAAGGAAAUCUUUUCUUUGCAUUCCAUUGUUUUUUUCCCUAGCUAUAAGCAUUUAAUACAUCAGAAAAUAAACCCAGGGAUGAGUGUGAAGGAAGAAAUACCGUGGUCUUUCCCUUUUUGCUCAGUUUUCUGGAAUUGUCCUCACCUUUUGGUCAAAGUAGUCUCUCAAGAGAGUGAGCAGCACUGGGUGGAGGGAGAGCUUCUUUAUCCCAGCUUUGCAUGUACGACACAGAUCGCACUGACCUGAAGCCGGCUUGCUCCCUCUGUCUCUACGAAGCUGCUGCUAUUUCUCAGAGGCAGCUGGCUCACCUCUCAACCUUUGUUUUCCCUCUUUGAAUAGAAGAGUUUAGGGCCAGAGGCUUAUUUUGUUGCUGAGACUUGUUUUGUUUUUGAUCCUGCAAGUUUUGCAACUCAAAAUAAAUUAUAUAUAUAUAUAUAUAUAUAUAUAUAUAUAUCAACAGACAUCUAAA
RNAcentral lists this long non-coding RNA (1361 nucleotides) under Cricetulus griseus (Chinese hamster). RNAcentral's name for it is "lncRNA (ENSCGRG00015040207.1)". Lineage: Eukaryota; Metazoa; Chordata; Mammalia; Rodentia; Cricetidae. The record is from RNAcentral.